Long non-coding RNA from Xiphophorus couchianus (Monterrey platyfish), 193 nucleotides. RefSeq lists it as uncharacterized. The transcript has 2 exons. Lineage: Eukaryota; Metazoa; Chordata; Actinopteri; Cyprinodontiformes; Poeciliidae. The record is from RefSeq and is a predicted model, not a curated record.
CAGGUCCUGACUCUGAGGCAGGUCCCGACUCUGAGACAGGUCCUGACUCUGAGGCAGGUCCUGACUCUGAGACAGGUCCUGACUCUGAGGCAGGUCCUGACUCGGAGCCCGGUCCUGACUCGGAGACAGGUCCUGACUCGGAGGCAGGUCCUGACUCAAAACCCGGUCCUGACUCGGAGCCCGGUCCUGACUC